UAUCAGUCAUGCAUAGCAUAUCAAUAAGCGGAGGAAAAGAAACUAACAAGGAUUCCCUUAGUAACGGCGAGUGAAGCGGGAAGAGCUCAAAUUUGAAAUCUUCAAGGUUCUACCUUGACGAAUUGUAGUUUAUAGAAGUGUUUUCUGUUAGUAGAGUGGCAAAAGUUCUUUGGAAUAGGACAUCAUAGAGGGUGAGAAUCCCGUAUUUGGUCAUUCCUCCUAGCUUUGUGAUACACUUUCAACGAGUCGGAUUGUUUGGGAAUGCAGUCCAAAAUGGGUGGUAAAUUUCAUCUAAAGCUAAAUAUUGGCGAGAGACCGAUAGCGAACAAGUACCGUGAGGGAAAGAUGAAAAGAACUUUGAAAAGAGAGUUAAACAGUACGUGAAAUUGUCAAAAGGGAAGCGUUUGACACCAGUGUUGUUUUUCCGAAAAUCAAUUACGAAUGUUUUGUUUUUAAGAAGUUAUGACUCAUCGGCUUGCUUCUUUCUUUAUGAAACUUUCUUAAUGCACUUUUCGGUUAACAAGUCAACAUCAAUUUCUUUUGUUGUAAAAGGGUAUGAGGAAGGUGGCUUUCUUUUCGGAGAAAGUGUUUAUAGCCUUGUGCCUCUGCAAUCGGAGAGAUUGAGGUCUGCAGCGUAGAUCCUUCGGGGUUAGAUACAUUUGUGCUAAGUUAUAGCUUUUCAUAGACAACUUGUUGACUAUGUUUAGUCUUGUAGCUUACUCGCUUAUGCUAUUUUACCUACGCUUAGGAUGUUGAUCUCUCACAGUCGAGC
RNAcentral lists this ribosomal RNA (772 nucleotides) under uncultured Neocallimastigales. Its description in RNAcentral is "partial large subunit ribosomal RNA". It matches the Rfam family "Eukaryotic large subunit ribosomal RNA", at positions 22 to 645 of the family's 3401-position model. The record is from RNAcentral. Lineage: Eukaryota; Fungi; Neocallimastigomycota; Neocallimastigomycetes; Neocallimastigales.